CCCUUAGAUGUCCUGGGCCGCACGCGCGCUACACUGACAUGUUCAACAAGUUUCUCCUAGUUCGACAGGACUGGGAAAUCUUUGAACGCAUGUCGUGAUAGGGAUAGAUCAUUGCAAUUAUUGAUCUUGAACGAGGAAUUCCUAGUAAACGCGAGUCAUCAGCUCGCAUUGAUUGCGUCCCUGCCCUUUGUACACACCGCCCGUCGCACCUACCGAUUGAAUGUUUCGGUGAAGAUUCCGGAUAGGACUGAUUUGAUUUAUUUCAUUUCUGACCUAAAAGCUAUCUAAACCUCAACAUUUAGAGGAAGGUGAAGUCGUAACA
This 322-nucleotide ribosomal RNA is filed under the name uncultured eukaryote. RNAcentral's name for it is "partial 18S ribosomal RNA". It matches the Rfam family "Eukaryotic small subunit ribosomal RNA", at positions 1470 to 1796 of the family's 1831-position model. The record is from RNAcentral.